UGCACUUGCAACACAAGUGAAGACCUUUUGGGUCAUCACAUUACCUCUAUGCCGAGUGACUUUUCUGAGUAUAGUGAGAUCAUACACAUUUUUUAAUAUGUAAAUCAGUAGUACACCAUCAUAUCAGCUUUGAAAAAAACUUUCUUUUUUGCAUGGGGAAUUCAGACUCCAAAUCUGCACAAGUUAUCUUUUUUACUUUGUUUAAGUUUCUCCCUGAGUUUUUUCUCCUUGCUUUUCCUUUGUCUUCCUUUAAAAUUUCAAACAUUGCCUCAGUUUCUGGUUGCUUUCUCCUUUGAAUUGUUUGUCUUAAUCCAGCCUUAGCAGCCUAAUCACACAUUUCCAUCAGUGGAGAGUGUGUGGACCUUUCACCCUUGCUGUUAUACUUGAAUUUAACAAUUUCCGUGUAAUCUUAAAAGUUAACAUGAGCCACCAUCCGGUAUUUGUAGAGAAUCUUGUAUCCUCAUCAUAAGUGAUUAUGCUAGAUUGAUUUAAGUUUCAUAUGGAGUGGGAGUCUUGCAUGCCAAUUUCAGUUGAUCUUCUUGCAGAGGGAACUGCAACGAGAACUUGAGCAAGUUGAAUCUGGAGUUAGACCAUCGAGGCGAGAAUUUUCAUCCACACACAGUAGUAGGCCACGAGAAAGAUACCGUGAAAGGGAAAAUGGAAGAGCAGGUAAUGAGGGGACCAAAACAAGCACGGGGAUAACACAGCCUGAAACUGCAACGAGCUCAUCAAUGGUUACCAUGCCUACUGUGGUUCUAUCAGGGGCUAGGCAAUUCUCUGGCCAACUUCCAACUAUUUUGCAAUCCCGCGACAGAUCAGAUGAAUGUGGCAGCAGCUACGAAGAAAACUUUGAUGGUAGUAAAGACUCGGGGGACACGGGAAGUAUCGGGGAUGCAGACUUGGUAUCAGCACUUGAGGGACCGUCCAUGGGCUUUGGGUCGUCUCAAAGGCAUGGUAUCCGGGGGAGUAAGUCUAGGCAAAUUGUGGAACGAAGAGAACGGGAUGGCAGGCGGGAAGGUAAAUGGGAGAGAAAACAUUAGGAAGCACCAACAAGAUCAAUGGCCAUUGCCUACCAACUUUGACAGACUAUACACUUCCAUGACAGGUAGUACUGUAGUAGUGCUAUAGAAUGGUUAUUAAUUUUUGGAUAACCAUUUAUUAGCAUUAGUAAAAAUGUUGUUGUAGCCUUGUAGGUAUAAAUUAUCUGUAGAGAAGAAGCUCUAGGAAGACUGUAAAAUCAGGACAAUUUCCUCAUUGUAAAAGUGAACUUAAAUCCGUUACCUAAAUUAAUUGUACCAUGAUCCAUUGUAAUGACAUGUGAGUUUUAUGUUAAGAUCUUAUAAAUCUCUCGCUUUUGCUCUUA
Non-coding RNA from Nicotiana tabacum (common tobacco), 1363 nucleotides. The record is from RefSeq and is a predicted model, not a curated record. Lineage: Eukaryota; Viridiplantae; Streptophyta; Magnoliopsida; Solanales; Solanaceae.